Callithrix jacchus (white-tufted-ear marmoset) is the source of this 283-nucleotide unclassified non-coding RNA. It matches the Rfam family "Metazoan signal recognition particle RNA". From Rfam's summary of the family: The signal recognition particle (SRP) is a universally conserved ribonucleoprotein. It is involved in the co-translational targeting of proteins to membranes. The eukaryotic SRP consists of a 300-nucleotide 7S RNA and six proteins: SRPs 72, 68, 54, 19, 14, and 9. Lineage: Eukaryota; Metazoa; Chordata; Mammalia; Primates; Cebidae. The record is from Ensembl.
GCCAGGCGCGGUGGUGAGUGCCUGUAGUCCCAGCUACUCGGGAGGCUGAGGUGGGAGGAGUUCUGGGCUGUGUGCACCAUGCCGAAUCGGGUGUCCGCGCUAAGUUUGGCAUCAAUAUGGUGACCUCCUGGGAGUGGGGGACCACCAGGUUGCCUACAGAGGGAUGAACCGGCCCAGGUCAGAAACAGAGCAGGUCAAAACUCCAGUGUUGUUCAGUAGUGGGAUCUUGCCUGUGAAUAGUCACUGUACUCCAGCCUGGCAACAGAGUGAGACCCCAUCUCUC